This 494-nucleotide ribosomal RNA is filed under the name uncultured bacterium. Its description in RNAcentral is "partial 16S ribosomal RNA". It matches the Rfam family "Bacterial small subunit ribosomal RNA", at positions 28 to 507 of the family's 1533-position model. The record is from RNAcentral.
GACGAACGCUGGCGGCGUGCUUAACACAUGCAAGUCGAACGGAAAGGCCUGCUUUCCCUUGUGGAUUGCGGGUACUCGAGUGGCGAACGGGUGAGUAACACGUGAGUGAUCUGCCCCCAACUUGGGUAUAAGCCUGGGAAACUGGGUCUAAUUCCCGAUAGGACUGCAGGGUGGUGCCUGUGGUGGAAAACGAUUUUCUAGUGGUUGGGGAUGAGCUCGCGGCCUAUCAGCUUGUUGGUGGGGUAAUGGCCCACCAAGGCGGCGACGGGUAGCCGGCCUGAGAGGGUGGACGGCCACAUUGGGACUGAGAUACGGCCCAGACGCCUACGGGAGGCAGCAGUGGGGAAUAUUGCACAAUGGGCGGAAGCCUGAUGCAGCGACGCCGCGUGGGGGAUGACGGCCUUCGGGUUGUAAACUCCUUUCGACCGCGAGGAAGCCACCUGGUUGGAAGGGUGGUGACGGUAGUGGUAGAAGAAGCACCGGCUAACUACGUG